This 737-nucleotide long non-coding RNA is filed under the name Lupinus angustifolius (narrow-leaved blue lupine). Its description in RNAcentral is "long non-coding RNA (LANG_LNC001983)". Lineage: Eukaryota; Viridiplantae; Streptophyta; Magnoliopsida; Fabales; Fabaceae. The record is from RNAcentral.
UUUUUUGAUAUUUUUGCUUUAAUGCAAUGCUUUGGUUUUAGUUGGGAUGGUUAUUAUUUGGAGCAUUGAUGGCUACACUAUUAAGAACAUCAUUCAAGGUUUGAGACUUCUUGCUUUGAAACAUUGGAGCUGUAAGAAAUUGGAGCAAAGGACAAUGUUAAGUUCUGAAGAUAUAAAGUGAGCAUUAUUUAGAAGUGCGGGUUAUGAAGGAAAGAUAUUAUCAAAGAGCUGAAUAUGAAAAGUUUUGUUCCAAGUUCAAGUUACCAAAUGUGAAGUGUUCAAGUUAGAGACAAGAAGUAAAAAGUGGGUGAAGCUUGAUCACUUGGGUGACAAAUUGAUAUUUCUUGGAUAUAAUAAGUCCUAUGUAAUAUCAAGAACAUUACUUAAUUGCAGUGAAGAGUUAAUUGUAGAGAAUAGUGUCUAUUUUGCUCUUUACUUUCCAUGUCCAGAACUUUGUUUGACUGAUAACAAGAUCAACAACAACAAGAUCAAACAACAACAACAACAAGAUCAACAAGAUUAACAACAACAAGAUCAAUAACAACAACAAGAUCAACAAGAUUAACAACAACAAGAUCAACAAGAUUAACAACAAGAUCAAGUGAUUGAGAAAAUCCAAUCACGUUAGGAUCGAGAUUCUGAUCCACUAUAUUGUCAUGAUAUCAAAUUGAAUUAUCAAGCUGAAGUCAAUUGACAUUUACCCUCCAGCUUGAUGGGCUAUUGGAAAACAAAGCUAC